RNAcentral lists this ribosomal RNA (253 nucleotides) under uncultured bacterium. RNAcentral's name for it is "partial 16S ribosomal RNA". It matches the Rfam family "Bacterial small subunit ribosomal RNA", at positions 524 to 776 of the family's 1533-position model. The record is from RNAcentral.
UACGGGGGGGGCAAGCGUUGUUCGGAAUUACUGGGCGUAAAGGGCUCGUAGGUGGCCAACUAAGUCAGACGUGAAAUCCCUCGGCUUAACCGGGGAACUGCGUCUGAUACUGGAUGGCUUGAGUCCGGAAGAGGAGAGUGGAAUUCCCGGUGUAGCGGUGAAAUGCGCAGAUAUCGGGAAGAACACCCGUGGCGAAGGCGGCUCUCUGGGACGGUACUGACGCUGAGACGCGAAAGCGUGGGGAGCGAACAGG